Long non-coding RNA from Octopus sinensis (East Asian common octopus), 159 nucleotides. RefSeq lists it as uncharacterized. The record is from RefSeq and is a predicted model, not a curated record. The transcript is spliced from 3 exons. Lineage: Eukaryota; Metazoa; Mollusca; Cephalopoda; Octopoda; Octopodidae.
CACCAGCAUGGGUUCCAGUUAUGUGAAACCAGCAUGGCCACAACUACAAUUUCACUUGGCUUGAUGGGUCUUCUCAAGCACAACAUAUUACCAAAGGUCACGGUCAUUAGCCAUUGCCUGUGUGUGGCCCAAAGUUCAAAGAUCAUGCUUCACCACCUU